This 2662-nucleotide ribosomal RNA is filed under the name Clostridioides difficile. RNAcentral's name for it is "bacterial LSU rRNA". It matches the Rfam family "Bacterial large subunit ribosomal RNA". The record is from RNAcentral. Lineage: Bacteria; Bacillati; Bacillota; Clostridia; Peptostreptococcales; Peptostreptococcaceae.
UCAAGUUAUUAAGGGUGCAGGGCGGAUGCCUUGGCACUAGGAGCCGAUGAAGGACGUGAUAAGCUGCGAUAAGCUUCGGGGAGUUGCACGUAAACUUUGAUCCGAAGAUUUCCGAAUGAGGAAACUCACUUAGAGUAAUGUCUAAGUAUCAUUAAGUGAAUACAUAGCUUAAUGAGGGGAACUCAGGGAACUGAAACAUCUAAGUACCUGAAGGAAGAGAAAGAAAUUCGAUUCCGUAAGUAGCGGCGAGCGAACGCGGAUUAGCCCAAACCAAUAAAGUUUUCUUUAUUGGGGUUGCGGACAUAUCAUAACGGAGAGGUAUCGUAAUUGAAGAGGUUUGGAAAGACCCACCACAGAAGGUAAUAGUCCUGUAUGUUAAACGAGAAGACUUUAGAUAUGAUCCAGAGUACCACGGGACACGUGAAACCCUGUGGGAAGCAGGAGGGACCACCCUCCAAGGCUAAAUACUACCUAGUGACCGAUAGCGUAUAGUACCGUGAGGGAAAGGUGAAAAGAACCCCGGGAGGGGAGUGAAAUAGAACCUGAAACCCUGCACUUACAAGCUGUGGAAGCACAUUUCUUGUGUGACCGCGUACUUUUUGUAGAACGGGCCAACGAGUUACGUUAAGUAGCAAGGUUAAGCACUUAAGGUGCGGAGCCGUAGCGAAAGCGAGUUUUAACUGAGCGUUCAGUUACUUGACGUAGACCCGAAACCGGGCGACCUACCCAUGAGCAGGAUGAAGCGAAAGUAAAAUUUCGUGGAGGUCCGAACCCACGAGCGUUGAAAAGCUCGGGGAUGACUUGUGGGUAGCGGUGAAAUUCCAAUCGAGCCCGGAGAUAGCUGGUUCUCCCCGAAAUAGCUUUAGGGCUAGCCUCAAGGUGAGAGAUACGGAGGUAGAGCACUGAAUGUCCUAGGGGGUAUUGCACCUACCGAAGACUAUCAAACUCCGAAUGCCGUCAUCUUAUACUUGGGAGUCAGACUGUGGGUGAUAAGAUUCAUAGUCGAAAGGGCAACAGCCCAGAUCGUCAGCUAAGGUCCCUAAAUGUAAGUUAAGUGGUAAAGGAUGUGGGAUUGCACAGACAACCAGGAUGUUGGCUUAGAAGCAGCCACUCAUUCAAAGAGUGCGUAAUAGCUCACUGGUCGAGUGAUCCUGCGCCGAAGAUUUCCGGGGCUAAAACUUACUACCGAAGCUACGGCAUCAGUAAUGAUGGGUAGGGGAGCUUCCCAUACGGGUUGAAGCAUGACCGUAAGGACAUGUGGACAGUAUGGGAGUGAGAAUGUUGGCAUGAGUAGCGAGAUGUGGGUGAGAAUCCCACAGGCCGUAAACCCAAGGUUUCCAGGGGAAGGUUCGUCCGCCCUGGGUUAGUCGGGACCUAAGCUGAGGCCGAAAGGCGUAGGUGAUGGACAACAGGUUGAUAUUCCUGUACUACCGAUAACCGUUUGAGAGAAGGGAUGACACAGUAGGAUAAGCUAAGCACACUGUUGGUUAUGUGUGCCCAAGCAUUGAGGCAGUCAAAGUAGGCAAAUCCGCUUUGAUAAUGCUGGGAUGUGAUGGGGAGCGAAAUUUAGUAGCGAAGUAGCUGAUUUCACACUGUCAAGAAAAGUCUCUAUCGAGGUUAAAGGUACCCGUACCGCAAACCGACACAGGUGGGUGAGGAGAGUAUCCUAAGGCCAGCGAGAGAACUGUUGUUAAGGAACUCGGCAAAAUGACCCCGUAACUUAGGGAUAAGGGGUGCCACCAUCAGGUGGCCGCAGAGAAUAGGCCCAAGCGACUGUUUACCAAAAACAUAGGUUUCUGCUAAGUCGCAAGACGAUGUAUAGGAGCUGACGCCUGCCCGGUGCUGGAAGGUUAAGGGGAUCUGUUAGAGCAAUCGAAGCAGUGAACUUAAGCCCCAGUAAACGGCGGCCGUAACUAUAACGGUCCUAAGGUAGCGAAAUUCCUUGUCGGGUAAGUUCCGACCCGCACGAAAGGCGUAACGAUUUGGGCACUGUCUCAACAACAGACUCGGUGAAAUUGUAAUUCCGGUGAAGAUGCCGGAUACCUGCGACAGGACGGAAAGACCCCAUGGAGCUUUACUGUAGCUUGACAUUGGGUCUUGGUACUACAUGUACAGGAUAGGUGGGAGGCUUUGAAACCAGGACGCCAGUUUUGGCGGAGCCAUCCUUGGGAUACCACCCUUGUAGUACUGGGACUCUAACCAUAGGCCAUGAAUCUGGUCUUGGGACACUGUCAGGUGGGCAGUUUGACUGGGGCGGUCGCCUCCCAAAAGGUAACGGAGGCGCUCAAAGGUUCUCUCAGUACGGUCGGAAAUCGUACGUAGAGUGUAAAGGCAAAAGAGAGCUUGAUUGCAAGACAUACAGGUCGAGCAAGGAUGAAAAUCGGACUUAGUGAUCCGGUGGUUCUGCGUGGAAGGGCCAUCGCUCAACGGAUAAAAGCUACCCUGGGGAUAACAGGCUUAUCUCCCCCAAGAGUCCACAUCGACGGGGAGGUUUGGCACCUCGAUGUCGGCUCAUCACAUCCUGGGGCUGUAGUAGGUCCCAAGGGUUGGGCUGUUCGCCCAUUAAAGUGGUACGCGAGCUGGGUUCAGAACGUCGUGAGACAGUUCGGUCCCUAUCCGUCGCAGGCGUAGGAAAUUUGAGAAGACCUGUCCUUAGUACGAG